RNAcentral lists this unclassified non-coding RNA (354 nucleotides) under soil metagenome. RNAcentral describes it as "partial contains 5.8S ribosomal RNA, internal transcribed spacer 2, and large subunit ribosomal RNA". The stretch from base 1 to 120 matches the Rfam family "5.8S ribosomal RNA", at positions 35 to 154 of the family's 154-position model. The record is from RNAcentral.
GAUGAAGAACGCAGCGAAAUGCGAUAAGUAAUGUGAAUUGCAGAAUUCAGUGAAUCAUCGAAUCUUUGAACGCACAUUGCGCCCGCCAGUAUUCUGGCGGGCAUGCCUGUUCGAGCGUCAUUACAACCCUCAGGCCCCCGGGCCUGGCGUUGGGGAUCGGCGGAAGCCCCCUGCGGGCACAACGCCGUCCCCCAAAUACAGUGGCGGUCCCGCCGCAGCUUCCAUUGCGUAGUAGCUAACACCUCGCAACUGGAGAGCGGCGCGGCCACGCCGUAAAACACCCAACUUCUGAAAGUUUGACCUCGGAUCAGGUAGGAAUACCCGCUGAACUUAAGCAUAUCAAUAAGCGGAGGA